GUCCUGCAAAUAUGAGUGACCCAUAGAGCUUGUGUUUUUUCUUUACAGUUUUCCACUCAAAACAAUUGUCAGAAAUUCCUGGUUUCACGAACUGUUUUGCAAAUGACACACUUCUGUUGGUUUGUUUGCAGAUGUUUUCCUUGUUUUGUAAUAGGAGGCAAUUUCUGGGCUAUUGAUUAAUAACUGCAUUGUUAUCUAUACCCUAAAUUUCAGGAUAUUGGCUGUAAUUCUAUACACUGUUUAUUUGGGCUUAGUUCUAGAUAGGACAAAAUGUCCUGGUCAUAACUUCCUUAAUAACUUAAUGAACUUUUAUUUUGCAUCUUAAUGCAUAAAAAAAAACUCCAAGAGGCUGGGGAUGCUAGAAUUUUUGAAGUGCUGACAUUUUAUUUGAAAAACCCUUUUGUUUCACAGGUGGCAUUCCUUGAGCAUUUUCCUCAUUUGUAUAAAUGUGGCAUAAACUGCUCAGGUUCUAUAGUUACCUUCCUUGGCAGUUGUUCUGCUCUUUGGAGGGCCAGGUGGAUCAGCAGCCUUUCCUAGGAGCUCCAGCUUGCACUGUGCUCUCUCUGCACUAAUGCUGCAGCCACAGGAGAUUGUGGAAGGGUGGCAAAUUUUUCUAGGAAGACAUUGCCUGCCAGCUUGAAACAUGUAAAUUUCUGGAAUUUGCAUCAAAAUAUGACAGCUCUUCUCUGAUGAAGUGUGACAUGAAGAAUUCAUAAAGAGCCCUUGACAGAAGUUAUACAGCACCUCCAGAACAGAUACAUGAUCUCAGUGACUCCAGAGCUGAGAAUACAUACAGGAGACAGAUACACUUAUUUUCUUGACUGUACAACCAAAGUUAUGCAAUGAAUAGUAUGAUUUGAGUGCUAAGCAUUAUUCUGAUUUCAUUCUGAUUGCUUUGAGACACAGAUAUUAUCUGAUGUAUAAAAAAUAUUGAUUUGUUGAGUGUCUAGUAAAUGUUAAGAAAGCUUCCAAAAAUGCCAGCAUAACUAUAAGUGUAAUAAACUCUAGACUUUUUAGCCCUUGUACUGCUUUCCCAAAUAGCUUAGGGGAAGUCUAAAGUGUUAAGUCAAGCAGAAAGCUUUAGAAAACCAAAUAUCUAUAUCUAUAUCUAUAUCUAUAUCU
This is a long non-coding RNA of Vidua chalybeata, 1122 nucleotides long. RefSeq lists it as uncharacterized. The record is from RefSeq and is a predicted model, not a curated record. The transcript has 3 exons. Lineage: Eukaryota; Metazoa; Chordata; Aves; Passeriformes; Viduidae.